This is a long non-coding RNA of Helicoverpa armigera (cotton bollworm), 452 nucleotides long. RefSeq lists it as uncharacterized. The record is from RefSeq and is a predicted model, not a curated record. The transcript is spliced from 3 exons. NCBI's taxonomy places the organism in Eukaryota, Metazoa, Arthropoda, Insecta, Lepidoptera, Noctuidae.
GGAAGGUGUUUGUGACGCCGAUAUCCAUACUCAGUUGUUAGAAAGCGCAAUGGCUGCGGGUGGUAGAAAUUGUAUUGUCGUCUGCGAUGCGAUGCUACCUCAUGUCGAGAUGGAAUCUGGUCGCUAUGUUCCUAAUCAGAAAGGCAAAAUGGAAAGGACUUACAUAUCUGAUUGUUCUUCUAUCGGAGUUACAGGCAAGUGCGUUGCCUUAUACAGAUUGAAAAGCGUGGCCAUUGACAUUUUAAAUGUUGCAAAUGAGUACUAUUUGGCUCAAUUUGAUAUUAAUCAAGAGACUGAAAAUGUAGUGUCAGGUAUCUACAAGACUUUGCAUCGAGUGUAUCUACCGGCGUUACAGGUUUGCAAGGGUUGGGGUCACCUUAACCCUCCCAAUCCUAAAAGCAAUGACAUCGUAAAGUUCUACAUUUCAAAGAUAAUGCUCUUUGUUGAUUAUC